GGCCCGUGAGUGUGCUGGAUCGCACGUCAGCUUGCGAAGCUGUUAGACCAGGUUCGACUCCUGGACGGGCUA
RNAcentral lists this transfer RNA (72 nucleotides) under Planctomycetaceae bacterium. RNAcentral describes it as "tRNA-Arg". It matches the Rfam family "tRNA". From Rfam's summary of the family: Transfer RNA (tRNA) molecules are approximately 80 nucleotides in length. Lineage: Bacteria; Pseudomonadati; Planctomycetota; Planctomycetia; Planctomycetales; Planctomycetaceae. The record is from RNAcentral.